This 341-nucleotide ribosomal RNA is filed under the name Kibaleana apicospinosa. RNAcentral describes it as "partial 16S ribosomal RNA". Lineage: Eukaryota; Metazoa; Arthropoda; Insecta; Diptera; Keroplatidae. The record is from RNAcentral.
UUUUUUAAUUGAAAACUUGUAUGAAUGGUUUCAUGAGAUAUUAGCUGUUUCAUAAAAAUUAAAUUGAAUUUUAUAUUUUAGUUAAAAAGCUAAAAUUUAGUUAAAGGACGAGAAGACCCUAUAAAUUUUUAUAUAAAUGUUAAAUUUUAAUUUUUUAGGAAAAGUUUAUUAUUGUUUACGGGUGUAUUUUAUUGGGGUGAUAUUAAAAUUUAAUUAACUUUUAUUUGUUUUUAACAUUGUUAAAUGAAUAGUUGAUCCAGUUUUAUUGAUUAAGAAAUUAAAUUACUUUAGGGAUAACAGCGUAAUUUUUUUUUAAAGCUCUUAUUAAUAAAAGAGAUUGC